RNAcentral lists this unclassified non-coding RNA (377 nucleotides) under uncultured Gammaproteobacteria bacterium. RNAcentral describes it as "contains 16S-23S intergenic spacer region". The record is from RNAcentral. Lineage: Bacteria; Pseudomonadati; Pseudomonadota; Gammaproteobacteria.
UCCGGUUCUUCACCAGCAGUCUCCUUAGAGUCCCCGCCAUGACGCGUUGGCAACUAAGGAUAGGGGUUGCGCUCGUUACGGGACUUAACCCAACAUCUCACAACACGAGCUGACGACAGCCAUGCAGCACCUGUCUCUAGGUUCCUUUCGGCACUCCCGCAUCUCUACAGGAUUCCUAGGAUGUCAAGGGUAGGUAAGGUUUUUCGCGUUGCAUCGAAUUAAUCCACAUCAUCCACCGCUUGUGCGGGCCCCCGUCAAUUCCUUUGAGUUUUAAUCUUGCGACCGUACUCCCCAGGCGGUCAACUUCACGCGUUAGCUUCGUUACCAAGGAAUUGCUUCCCCGACAACUAGUUGACGUAGUUUAGGGCGUGGACUAC